AUUGAACGCUGGCGGCAGGCCUAACACAUGCAAGUCGAGCGGAGCGGCGGACGGGUGAGUAAUGCAUAGGAAUCUGCCUGGUCGUGGGGGAUAAGGUCCGGACACGGGCGCUAAUCUCGCAUACUAUCAGAUGAGCCUUGGCCGGAUUAGUUAGUUGGUGGGGUAAAGGCCUACCAAGGCGACGAUCCGUAACUGGUCUGAGAGGAUGAUCAGUCACACUGGAACUGAGACACGGGCCAGACUCCUACGGGAGGCAGCAGUGGGGAAUAUUGGGCAAUGGGCGAAAGCCUGAUCAAGCCAUGCCGCGUGUGUGAAGAAGGUCUUCGGAUUGUAAAGCACUUUAAGUUGGGAGGCGUUACCAACAGAAUAAGCACCGGCUAACUUCGUGCCAGCAGCCGCGGUAAUAC
This 407-nucleotide ribosomal RNA is filed under the name uncultured bacterium. Its description in RNAcentral is "partial 16S ribosomal RNA". It matches the Rfam family "Bacterial small subunit ribosomal RNA", at positions 30 to 526 of the family's 1533-position model. The record is from RNAcentral.